AGUGGUUAAAGCAAUAGGCUGCAAAGCAAUAGGCUGCUAACCAAAUGGUUGGUGGUUCGAACCCACCAGCCACUC
RNAcentral lists this transfer RNA (75 nucleotides) under Loxodonta africana (African savanna elephant). Lineage: Eukaryota; Metazoa; Chordata; Mammalia; Proboscidea; Elephantidae. The record is from Rfam by way of RNAcentral.